GAAAAACAUUCGUUGAACAGAUGUCCUUAGGGUCGGCGCUUUUAUCUCUGAAAGGAAGAACACUUGGAAAGGAAGCUGCGUGUUUUUCCUCUUGCCCGGAAGAGCCAGCCUGUAUGUCUCCCUUUUGACCCGAGGCCAAGCGCCUGAAGCCUCUUGGACUUAGUUAACAUUAGUCCGUUUUCUAUGCGUUUGUCCUUGGCUUGGUUUAUGGUGUUUGUUGAAAGAGAUGGGGUCUCUUCUGUUUUCCCAUGAUGGUCUCCAACUGCUGGUCUCAAGUGAUCCUUCUGCCUCAGCCUCCCAAAGUGCUGGUAUGACAGGUGUGAGCCACUGUACCCAGCCUAAUUUAUGCUGUUUGAAGACACUGAAGAGGACGCUGUGUUUCUCCCCACCCUACACAUGUG
Molecule: long non-coding RNA, 401 nt
Filed under: Homo sapiens (human)
Lineage: Eukaryota; Metazoa; Chordata; Mammalia; Primates; Hominidae
Description: PREDICTED lncRNA (TCONS_00180134)
Source: RNAcentral